AUGUCGGAUAUUGCACCUGUGCAGCCAUUGGCUUUGGGUCUCCUCCAGCCGGAGCCCGGCUUCCGCUUCCACCCUACCGGCCAGGAGCUCGUGACCUACGACCUCCUCCGCAAGGUCCACGGCCACCACGCCUUCAUCCCCGAGGUCCAUGUGUACAAGCACGAGCCCUGGGAGCUGCCAGGCACGUCACCUACAUGUCCCUACCUGCAGAGACGGCCCGGGCCAAUAAUAUCUAGUAUUGACUUGAUUUUCAUCAAUCAUGCAUGUGCAGACAAGUCCUUCUCGCCCAGCACACACGACGCCGGGGCCAAGGUGGAAUGGUACUUUUUCGCGGUCAGGGCCCGAAAGUACCCCAACGGGCUUCGCAUGGGGCGGGCAACGGUCGCCGGGUUCUGGAAGUCCACCGGGAAGGAUCGCCCCGUCAUGCACAACGGCGUCAUCGUCGGCAUGAAGAAGACGCUUGUGUUCCACACCGGCCGUGCGCCUGGCGGCACACGCACCGACUGGGUCAUGCAUGAGUAUCGUCUUCAGGGCCAACGCAACCACCACAUUCAGGACGCCUAUGCAUUGUGUCGAGUCUUCAAAAAGAACACCGUGGCUCCGUUGAUCGAUUUAUCCAGUGAUGCCGACACAUAUGAGGAUCCAAUGCAGUCUGUGCCCGGCGGCGUCGACACGGACAAGGAUUUGAUGGAGCACGUGUCUGACGGGGCCGAUUCACACAAGGAUCCCAAGCAUUAUGUGCUUGGUGGCAUAGAAUCAGACAAGUAUCUGAUACAGUCUGUGCUCCGUGGCAUCGGCACGCACAACGAUCCCAUACUGGUCGAGUCUGAUGUUGCCUACGCGGGCAAGGAGCAGAUGGAGUCCGUGCUCUGUGGCGUUGGCACAGACAAGGAUCACAUACAUGUCGAGUCCGAGUUCAAUAGUGUUCAUGCGGGGAAGGGAAAGAAGCCGUUCCUCGCCGACCGUGGUAGCACGAGCACAGGAAAUAUGGAGUUUCUCGCCGGUGGUGCCAACAAAGACAACGAAGGGAUGCAGCCUGUGUACGCCGGCGCCAGCGCGGAUGAGGAGAACUCUGUCAACGCUUGGUACACCGCAGCCCUUGCGGAAGAGGAUAAUUCAUGGAUGCAGCCCCCUUCAUAUGACGACUGGUACACUAGAGUCGACCUGGACAAGGAUGAUUCCUUGAUGCAGUUCAUCUUCGGUGAUGUUAUGCUCUUGAGCACCGACUGA
This 1230-nucleotide ribosomal RNA is filed under the name Triticum aestivum (bread wheat). RNAcentral describes it as "partial small subunit ribosomal RNA". Lineage: Eukaryota; Viridiplantae; Streptophyta; Magnoliopsida; Poales; Poaceae. The record is from RNAcentral.